Molecule: long non-coding RNA, 13375 nt
Filed under: Capsicum annuum
Lineage: Eukaryota; Viridiplantae; Streptophyta; Magnoliopsida; Solanales; Solanaceae
Description: long non-coding RNA (CANN_LNC008665)
Source: RNAcentral
AUCUAGUCAGAUCUGUGUGAAUCAAAUAGGUAACAUGUUAAACUGAUUCAUUAGAGGAGAGAAUUCAAAGAUGUAGUGACCAUCAUUCCUAAACAAAUAACAAAAUAAAGGGUCAAGGAGAGAACGAGCAGUGGCGGUGUAGCUGGAGGCUCGCUGGCCACUACCUUCGGUGAGGCAGCGGGAGCGGCGAAAAAAGGAAAAUGGUGAAAGGGGAAGCGUUGGCUGGUGUGUUGUCGCCGGCCGUUUGGUGUUCAACUCCAAUAGUGCUAGUAAUAGAUAGAGGAGGAUGGAAAUUGGUGGUAGUGUGGUACUCGCCGACCAUUCGGUGGUUAAAUCCGGUGGUCGGUGGUAAGGGUAGAGAGAAAAGAAAGUUUGAUUUUGGGAGAGAGAGAAAAAAUUAGAUUGUGAAAUGUGGGUGUAUAUUUUAUUAUUUGUGUGUGGUUUUAGGUAACUGAUUUUGAGUAUAUGUGUGUGUAUUUGUGGGUAGUCCAUCAGAGCACUGGUGGUGGAGAGGCGGCAGUAAGAGCAGCCAUGGAAGUUGAAUAGUGGAAGAGAGAGGAAAAGAUGUGUAUGAAUGAAAAGAGAAAAAAAUUAGAUUUUGUAUAUGUAUUUUGUUUAUGUGAAGAAAUACACCCCACCCACUUAUAUUUAUAAUAAAAAUAAGUAUCUUCUAUUAUCCAAAAAAUAAAAGAAUGUCCCCUAUUUUUAUUAGCACACCUUUUGUCCUUAGGAUAUUGAUCAAAAAAUUUUUAUCCUUUUGACCAACGGAUAAGGUUAUUAUCCAAAGUGUAGUAUCAUUGAAUUGUUAUUGUCAGAUAUGACAAGUCAUUAUGUGUAGUCAUUGUCAGAUGUGACAAGAUAUUAUUGUGUGAUCAUUGACGGAUGUGACAAGUCAUUAUGUGUAGUCAUUGUCAGAUGUGACAAGAUAUUAUUGUGUGGUCAUUGACGGAUGUGACAGACAUUAAAUUAUUAUAUUGUGUAAAAAUAAUUGAUCCGACUUAGCAUUUGCGGACUAUAAAAAAUGUACAAAAUGCAGGUAUUAAUUUGUGAUUAUGAAAAAAUGUAAAGAAUGUUGAAAAUAUUAAAAAAUAUAAUUAAUUUGAAAAUGUAAUUAAAAUGUGAUGUCAUGUCAUGUAUGUGUGCGGAUGAUUCUGAAAGUGUUAAAAUGAUAAUGAAUUGAUAAAAAAAGUCUAACAUACAGAUAAUUAUUAAUAAAUUAUGAUAAUUAAAAAAUAUGACAAAAUUCUAAAGUGAGGAUGAUUAAUAAUUGUAAAAAAUAUGUGAAAAUUGUGUUCUGUGCCCUUUAACGAUCAGGAUGCCUAAAGACAUUAAUUUUGAGUACGGAGAACAAAAAUUGAGUGUUAACAGUUGCCCCUUUAUAUUUGAGGACGAUGUAGAAGUCUUCACAUGACAAUGUUGACGUGUAGCCAAUUUUGCUCGAUAAAAAAAUAAUUUUGAUGAAAAUUCGACCGAACUCUAAUUGAGAGUUGCCUACAUACCUCAAGUUGCAUAAGGAACAGGUCAGGUGUAGUUCAAAAGAAUAGGGGAAUUUCCUCUUGCUUUGUUAUAAAAGGCAAAUGAUCAUUCGAAAUGAUUAUAAAGAAGAGGAUUGUUUGAGAACGGAAGUGCUUACAUAUUCUCGAUGCUCCUUCUGAAAUUGCCCCAGUAUCGAGCUGUGAGAUGCUGGGGAUUCAAGAUUAUGUACUUGCUGGGGAGAAAGAAUGAUUAGAUGAUUGUGAUGACCAAACUCUGCAUAGAUCGUUCUACAUAUCUCGAGUGUCGCGAGAAUCAAGUCAAUGUAGUUCGAAAUGAGAAAAUAGGGAAAAAAAAUUUAGGCGAUGGUCAAAAUUUGCCCCAUUGUAUAAUUUAUGGAUAGCAUUUGGCUUUUUGAAUGAAAAUUGAAAAAAUGUUUUGUUGUUUUGAAUUGUAUUUUUGAUUGAAAAGAUGCAUGAUGUCUUCAAUUGUCUACGGAGACUUAAGGAUGAAUGACGCCUCCGAUUGUUUAUGGAAACUUAUGUGAUGUGUGAAAGAUAUCUUCGAUUGUUAACAAUGACUUGAUGCAUGACAUCUCCAAUUGUCGAUGGAGACUGAUAUUGAUUGUCGUCUUCGAUUGUCUAUGGAGACUGAUGUUGAAUGAUGAUGUCUUCAAUUGUCUACGAAGACUAAUGACAUCUCCAAUUAUCUAUGGAGACUGGUGUGGAUUGUCGUCUUUGAUUGUCUAUGGAGACUGAUAUGAUGAAUGAUGUUGUCUUCGAUUGUAUACUAAGACUUGAUGCAUGACUUCUCCAAUUGUCUAUAUAGGCUGGUGUGGAUUGUCGUCUCCGAUUGUCUAUGGAAACUAAUGUUGAAUAAUGAUGUCUUCGAUUGUAUGGGAAUACUUGAUGACAUUUCCAAUUAUCUCUGGAGACUGAUGUCAUUAACUAGUAAAGUGAUUGAAUUCUAUGGUCUCUCGAUUAGUAGAACAGCUGGAAGGUAGUAGUCUCUCGACUGUCGUGGCUAUGAAAAUGUAAGAGCCUCUCGACUGGCGGGGAUAUUGAAAGUUAAUAUCCUAUCAACUAGCGGGGCUAAGAAAUGUAUUAUCUCUCGACUUGUGGAGCAUUAGAAAGGUAAUAGCCUCUCGAAUAGAGGAGCUAUGAAAAUGUAAAAGCCUCUCGACUGGCGGGGCUUUGAAAGGUAAUAGCCUCUCAACUGGCGGAGCUUUGAAACGUAAUAGCCUCUUGACUGGCGAGGCUAUGAAAAUGUAAAAGCCUCUCGGUUGGCAGGGCUUUGAAAGGUAAUAGCCUCUCGACUGGCGAGGCUAUGAAAAAAAAGCUAUCGACUGAUGGAGUUACUGAAAGGUAAUAUUCUCUUGACCAAGAUCUUACCUUUCUCAAUAAAUUCUUGAAUCUUGUACCUCAAUCCUGAACAUUCCUCAGUAUCAUGUCCUUGGAUAUAUAAAUUAUAUGCACACCUUUUGAACAAGUCAAAAUUUGAUGGUGGGUACUUAGGGAUCAAACCUUUUCUUGGUUUCAAAAUUCCUUGAGCAAAAAACUUUGGAAUAUGCUAAUCAAAGGUUUAGUUAAAGGGGUAAAAGUAUGAGAUUUUAGUUUCUUUGGUUGAUGAGAAUUAGAUAUCACUAGAUAAGUAUGUUGUUGGGGAUCACGCUGGUUAAAAUUUUGAUAUUGAAAAGCUUGUGGGUUAUAUGGGUCAAAAACAGCAUAAGUAGGUUUGGUAUUUGGACAUUGUGGUUCUUGAGAUGGAAGGGUUGAGAUAUCUUCUUCUAUUUCUUCUUAUGGUAAGGGUUUUUGUGCUUGAAGGGUAGCUUGUAUUGCAAAAACAUCAAUAACCUUUCCUAUUCAAAUGGGAUAUUUUAAUCUCUUCCUAAUUAAAAUCAGCUCGUCGAACCCUUGGACACAUGAGCAACAUAACUUUUGGUAGUAGAUACCAUCUAGAAACCUUAUGAAAUCUUGAACCAACUCUUUCUUGGCAUAGGAGGACGUAUCUUAGAAACUUCCAAUCUCCAUCGUGUCAUAUAAUCCUUAAAAGAUUCAUGAGUCAUUCUCCUUAUUUAUAACAAGUCCAGCAUUGCUGGAUUGGCCUUGAUAUUAAACUUAUAUUGGCACACAAAGUCUUGAGCCAUGCUCUCCCACUAUAUCAAAGUAUUGUGUGACAUACUAAGUAAUUGUUAUUCCUGAUAGGAUUUGAAUGAACAAUCUCAUCAAGAGAGCUUCAUUGUCUCUUAUGCCAACUAAUGUGCUACAUUAGUCCUUCAGGUGCGAGAUUGGGUCUCCAUGCCCAUCAAACACAUUGAAUUCUUGAAUUUUAUAUCCUAGAGGCAAAUCAAUCGUUGGAUGCAGGCACAACUUCUUAUAUCUCAAAUAAUAAAUGCCCUUGGGGAGUAGACACACAUCCAACCUCUUUUCCAAGUCAAGAAACAUUUAUGUUACCAUGUUUCGCAAAGUACCAAGGAAAUAACUAAGGAGAUGUGAGUAAGAAGGUAUCUUAUGCUGGGGAAGAAGAAAUUUGUUAGAAGAAGAAUCAAGAUGGUUAGGCAUAUUUGUCAAAUUGCAGACCUUUAGCUGAUUCGAUAUUCAAAUGUAAGACAACCUUUAAACAAAAUAAACAAGCUAACGAAAGUUACCACAUAGCACAUAUAAUUUUAACACAUAAUAAAUAUAAAAACAAAAGGCAUUCUAGAAUGAAGACUAGAACUUAAUAAGUGAUCUAGGUGUAAAGAUUUGAGCUCCUAACGCAUAAAAUAUGAUAGUAAUAGAACAUGAUGUCAUUUUACAAUUGUGAUUACAAAGAAGAUAAGAAAGAUAGGAAAUGAACAAGGUCAACUUUCAUUGAACAUCAGAUUUGUUGAUCAUACAUGACAUUGUUAUUAUCUAACUCCAUGUAAAAAAAUAACGAAAUAGGGAAAAGGAAGAUUUUAUUAUGAUGAGACCAAACUCAACAAAUAAGCACCUAUGUAUCUCUCAUACAGGGGAAUCAGGUCGACCGUAGUUCACAUUACAUAAGCAAGGAAAACAAAAAAGGAAAUUGAAAAUUGUAAAACUUGAAUGAAUUUCAAAUGUUUGGGAGUCUGGAGUAGAGAAUCAAUAUGAUAUCUUCUUCACUAUUGUUAACCAGUGCAAGUCAAUCUUAGGAAAUCAAUCUGCAUUAGAAUUUGACCCCAUCACAUUUAUCACCUGGGUAUCAAUCAUAUUUUGGAUCAUGCUCUUUAAGGAAAAACAUGCCUUAGUAGGAUACCCUUUCAUCCCAGAAUGGUAGGCAUAAAUUUGGUCAGGGCAAUACCGCCUAGACUUAGUGUCAGCCGGUACAACAGCAAUGGGUGUGAUGUAGCCCAUAUUCUUGAGUCCUUCAUACAACUGUUGUACGGUUUCACCUAGAAGAGUGUACUAUUUUGGUGGAUCUUUCUGAAGCUUAUGUUGAGGUUUGGUGGAUAAUUUUGAUUGUUGAUUUUUUGGUGAGUUUUGGAAAUACAUUGGAAGGUAGUUUGAUGUUGGAACAACAAAUGAAGGUGAGUACCAAACAGUUUGUGGAGGAUGUUUUGUGAAGGACUGGGGAUAAUAGGCUUAGACAUAUUGGAAUGAUUUUCUGGAGUUGGGUACCAUAUCAAUUGAGGUUGGGGUAUGCUUACUUCAGGCUUUAGAGGUUUUGAUAUCUCAUCGAUGGUUGUCUUUCCCCUAUUCAAAUUGGUCUCAAUUUUGAGCUUCCUCUUUAUCUUAUUAUUGAACCUCCUAAGAAAAUUAGUUGUUAAAUCGUCCCAAGAGAUCCACUUGCUAGUAUCAUUUCAGCAUACCACAUCAAUGUUGGACCCUUAAAUGAACUAACAAAGAGUUUCGUCUUAAGGUUAUCACUUUGCCCUAUAACCGAUAGCUCGUUAAGGUACUCCUUCAAAUUGGAAUGUGGGUUUCCAGACCCAUCAUAUAAUGGAAAGUUCAAGUCCUCAAUUUUAUCCUUGUCUCCUUCCUUAGCUUUGGGUGACUUAUUCAUCUCAGGCUGUUGAGAUGACCCUGCCUUAUGGUUAAGAAUUUGUCCUCCUAUUUCCUUCUCCUUGACCAUAGUUGUCGACCCAUUGAGUACUUUCAAUAGUGCAACUGAAUACCAACUUUAAGACACUCGUCGAUAUAGAAGAUGACAUAGUAUAGGAGGGAGCUAUGAAGUUAGUUUCAAAUAAUGACUCUGGAAAAUGUAGUGGCAUCUCAACUAAACCUCGGAGAUAAGUCAUUAUUCCCCUAAUUCUCUCUAUUCUUCUUUCCAUCCAUAUGAUACUCGAAAUAACUUUGUUUUGAUGCAGCCUCGAACUUUCAUGCCCAGCUUUGCUAUUGACAAGAUUGAUAAACAUUGCUUGACUAGCCAUUUCUGAUGCUUAACUUUAGUCAACCUUAGAAGACAGGACUUACGAUUAUAAACAAAGAGUACACACCAGAGUCUAGAGUGAAUAUUCUACUCAUUAGAAAAUAAUGAGUUAUACUUAUCCGAAGUGAAUAGAAGUUAUAAGAGCUCUAUGUAACUUAGAGGUUGUGAAAUUUAGAGUACGACAUGAGUAUGAUGAUAUUAAUGUCCAAGAAUCAUGGUAGGACAAUAGUAUAUAAAUGUUAGAAGCAUUAGGAAGAGGAUAUCCUAACAUGAUAAAUUGCACUAACAGAUUAUGAAUGAGGCUGAAACUCUUUAUCAAAGCAAGAGUUGAGCAUAGGGAUGAUUAAUAUACUAAUGGAUGAGUUAGGCUGAUAGAUUGAAGGGAAGCUUUUGAAUAGGCCCUAAGAGUGAAUUGUAAGGCCCUAACAUGACAAGAAUAUUAAGAGUAAAGAGUUCUAAGGUGAGGAACACUAAAAGUAAGGAGUGACUAAGACAAGAGCGAAAACAAAAGAUAGGUAAGAUAUCAAAACAUACGUAGAAAUGAAACAUAUAACAAAUAAUAUUAUGCGUCCUUAUGGGGUAUGAACCCCUUUAGACUUUGAAUGAGACUAACAUUCAACGUACCAAGGGUUCCAAGGCAUCCUAGGUUGAAUGGGAUGCAUAUUCCUUAGUAAAAGAAAUAUGUAGCCAGGAUCUAAAAAACAAGAGUGGGUUUAUGACAUGGUUCCCUCGAGUAGACAACUCGAGAGUGGGAAAGCUUGUGACUGUCGAUGCACUGCUGAUCGACCGAUCCACAAGGCAUUUUCCAGUGGGUAUUUUAGAAAAUAACAUCCGUACAACCACACAAUCUUUCGUAAAAGAAAAAAGAGAUUUCAACUGGAGGAAAGUAUUAACGGAAUACCAGUUAUAUAAAGCAGUAACGCAUAGCACAUAGAAAAAAGAACAUGCUAAGCAAUAUACACAUAAAUAAACAUGAUAACACAUAGGCAACAAAAAAGGAAAAAGGGAAAGGGAUAGACAUGGAGACAUAUGAAAAACACAUAAAAAGAGAAAAGGAGAAAGGACAAAUAAAUCAUGAUAUAAAUGAAUAAUAAAAGUAUAACAUGUAGAAAAUAAAUCAUGAUAUAAAUGAACAAUAAAAGUAGGACAUGUAGAAAAUAAAUCAUGAUCUCAAAAACAAACAUUAUACACAAACAUCAAAACAAAUAGAGAGAAUCCCACAUAAAGCACAAAUUCAUAAUGGUAAGAACCUAAGUAUUUUCAGCAAAGUUGUCAUUCUGUCGCGCCCCAUUUUUCUUGUGAAAACCAAAAUUAGACAUGACUACUCUUUUUGGGAUUAUUUAAAGAGUGUGAUGAGUCGCCACCUAACGUAUUAGGGUGCGUUAGGGCAUUGGUCUAGGCUAACUACGAACCUAUUUUUGUAAUUUAGUCUUAGUUCAUCAAAAAUUUGGGUAAGGGUUCAAAUUACCUCGAAAGGAAGGUGUUAGGCAUCUUUCGAGGUCCACAAAGGUGGUUCCCAGCCAAAUUCGUACUUUACAUGGGGAUUCUAUGUGAUCAAAUAAAAGUCAUUAUUUCAUUAAUAACUUAAUAUUAACUAAGUGAUAAAGUAAUUAAUGAACAAACAUGUUAUUUGGUUAUUCCUAUUUGAUAAUUACCUAAGAGGUAAACAACACAAGAAUUAAUAAAGGAAUAAUAAAAGCGAUAAUGACACAAAUUAUAGCAGAUGGGACUGAUUAAAUAAACCAACUACCCCAAAAUAGAUAAGCAGAUAAAAAUAAAAGAAUAAAAUCAAAAAGUCGAACCAAGGAAAUAUUUUUGAUUUCAUUCGGAUCAGAACCCCAACUUGUUUAAUCAUUAUCCGACCCAUUGACCGAAUUCUUAGACAAGUGACAAUGUCAUAAGUCGUGUAAUAUAUGUUGGAUAUCAUCACUUUCGAAUGACUACCCUCCCUCACCUAGGCUGGUUGUCAAACUUAAAAGCGUUCUAAAAAGAAAGGAUAAAACUAAUGCCUCUAGAAUGCCUAUCAUCCCACUUAUCGCCCAAGAGGCAUUGGGCUUUGCUAAUAUAGAUAACCAAAGCUAUGUUUGCUAGUUUGACCCAAAGCGCGUUAAACAUGUUGGACAACAAGUAGCACAUAAUUAUCUCAAAUGAGCCUCUUGAUUAAUUAAGAGUUAGUUAAUGUGACUAGCAUGCAAGAGAAGCAAUUAUUUAUUUUUUGAUUAAAUCUAUAGACAUGAUAUCUAAGUGUCACGUAAUUAUUAUCGACGAAGGAUAAUUGUAAAUCAUUUUUAAAACAAUGUUGUAAAUUUAUUAAGAAUAAAAAUGGGUAAGUCAAAGUAAAGUAAAUGUGUUGGGAAGUGAUACCGGUCAAUUAAUAAGCCAAAUAUGUUGUCAAUUAAUGAAAAAUACUGGAAAGUAUGCUAGGCAACAUGUUCACUUGAUGAAACUAAAUAACAUGUAGGAAUUAAAUUAGUAAAAACACUGCUGAAAAUUCAUUUCAACAUACAGAAGAUUCAUUUUUGUAUCUUUAAUAUCCUGAAAAUCAAUUUGAUGAACUGAAAAUUAACUCUAUUGUGUUGAAAGUUAAUUUUUUUUAAGUGUUGGAAGAGUAGAUUAAUAUGCUGAAAUGAUGUAAAAGGCUGAGCAUUAUUUUAUUUUUUUGAUAAAAAUAACAAUUUUGUAUGCUGGAAAUCAGUUUUAUAAGUGAAAAAUUAACUAAAACUGCUGAAUAUUACUUUUAAAUGCUGCUGAAAAAUGUUUUAAAUGUUGGAAAGUGACUUAAUAGGUUGAAACUAUAUUUUAAAUGCUGAAAAUUUUAUCAAUAUGCUGAAAAUAAAUAGAAACAUGCAGAAAAACAAAUAUAAAUAUUGAAAAUUAAUUUGACAUGUUAUAGGUUAAAUUAAUAUGCCCAAAAUAAUUUUUUUUUCAUGUCAAAAGUCUACUAACGGCCUUAAAGACAUGAUUUCUAAGUGGUAAAACAAGUUUAUAUUAAUCCUAUGAAUUUGCCUAAGUGAUUUGCGUAAGCAAACAAAAGCACAUAAAUACAUAAACCUAAGUUAUGUUUGCCUAUGUGAUUCAUAGAGCACAUAAAUCUCCGUCCCCAAGCAGUCCCUAAUUUAUUAUUAUUAGGGUAGAGUUGUACAAUAAUUACUACAGACCAAUAAUAAAUGAAAGAAAAAACACUAAGAAGAGCUAGAUUGCAUAGCCCUCAGCGACUCUCAAGUCCAUGGCAAAUCUGUCUCAUCUAACCAUUAGUCUUUAAUCUAUGAACACAAAAAAAAGAACCAAAAUACACUUUGAAUCCGAAAUAUACCUUUGGCAAUGCAUAACCAAACCCUUGGCUCUAUCGAGAUCCUAAGGAUCUCUGGAAUCCCAGGCAGGCUCACACCGAAGGAGUUAUGUGAUGCGCAAAGAUUAUUUCAGAUUCAUAAAUAAAUAUUCUAGUGGGGAACAACAUUUAACAGCAAGAGAAAGUAUGUCAUAUUGACAAAAGCAAAUAGCAUGAGCAUCCUAGUAAGUCACGAAAUAAAUGCACAAAAAUGAAUAAAAGGCUCAUGUCAUCAAACUCUUCAAAUGUUUAAAGUAAGUAAAUCGAAGUGGGAUCAUAGUCAUGUAGAAUAACAUAAAAAAAAAAUAAUGCAUCGUUCGAGAGAACUAACCGAUUAACAACACAAUAACAAAAGAAAAGUGAACUUUCAAAAGUAGAUAAACAGUCGUACGAUCAAACAAGAACCAGCAAUCCCAAAGUAGAAGCAGGAAGCAAAAUUUAACCCAAAAGUAUAGUGUGGAAGAGUAUAGAAGUUAGUGAAAAUUUUCUGUAUAGAGAGUAGGAGAGCAUGAUAAGAGAUGUCCUGAAUACAAAUGAGGGGUGGCCGUUAUAUAGUGAAGGGACCACAAAAAUAAAAGAAAUAAGAAUAUUUGAUCAUUCAAACAAGGAGAUUAUUUUUCUACAUUAAGGAGGUAAAUCUAUUAACUUCACCGAUCAUGCUAUGGUUGCAACAAAUAAACAAAUAAGAAUCUAUCUAAAUCUUAAUAUUGAAAUCUUCCAUAAACAAAAUAAGGAAAAAAAAAUCUUUCCUACUUAUUAAAGAAGUCAAGAGGUGGGUAAAAGAUAUUAGUAUCAAUCAAUUAUAAUAUCAUCUACAUUUACCAUAAUUAAUACGUAAAUGAAUAUCUGUCACACUAAAUAAGGUCAAAGAGAAAUGAGAAAAUCAAUUAGUGAAAUAGUUCAUCAAAAAUCAAGGAAAAAUCGAAUUAGACACAAAAUCAAGGUAAAUGAGUGACAUCAAUAGGCAAAAUGUACCCAUAUUAAGUUUGCUACAUAUAACCUCAACAAAAAAAUCACGCAAUAUGUCACACAUAUUACAUGUAUGGAAUUAUCUUAGAUAGAGAGAUGAAACUUCCACAAACUAAUAUGCAGCACUAAACAAGUUAAGGGUAAAAUUGGGGCUUUCACAAUUGGGUAGUGUAAAAAUGUAAAUAUGCAUAGAAUUAAGUCAACCUAUCUCAGGAAUAUCACAAAUUUAAUAUCUAAAAAUCAUUGAAUAGGUAGAAGAAGAUGACAUUAUGAAAAUUACAUUACAGAAACAAACUUGACACGGAUUCAUAGAAUCUGUCAUGUAUUUCAAUGCUUUUGGACAAAAUAUAGUUGAGCAACAGCGAAGGCAGUGGCGAAAAGAGAGGGAAUAGCAUUGGGGAUCCUUUGGUUAGCUCUCCAGCCGUAUGGCUACUUGUAGCGGAGAUGGUUGGGUUCGUUGAUGGUGGAACCGACGGUGAUGAUGGCAGUGGCGGUGCUUAUGGAUGUUUCCAUUGUUCCUUUGGUGGUGGGCGACUAUGAAGGGAAUACGCAGGCUGGAGAGGCACAAGGAUGAAUGAAGGCGGUGGAGAAGGGUGGUUCGCUAGUGGAGAGAGGAGAAUGAAGAUAAGGGAAAGGGUGGCAAUUUUGGUAUAGAGGUUGCCGACCGACUGGUAAUCACAUCCAGUGGUGGCUGGAUCUUAGAUAGAGAAUGGGAGCCCAGAGAGAGAAACAAGGUGCGGUUAUUUUGGAAUAAUGAAUUAGAGUUUAGUUCUUUAAGUUUAAAAAGGCAAGAGUAUCCUGAGUAGAUCUUAGUCAUUAGAUCAAUUUGAUUUGCGCCUGACAUGGAGGAAUUUAAAAAUAGGUCAUAAACUGGGAUUUAAAUAGGAACUCUAAGUGAUAUCAAUUUUGGCUAAAAUUGAUAUCAAUUGGAAUAAAAAAUUAGCUAGAAAUUAAACACAAGAAAGGAAAAUUGGAUAAAAGUGAUUGUUAGUUUAAUAAAUGUAAUAAAUGAAAUAAGAUGUCCCUAUUAAAAUAAAUUAAUGUUACGUAAAAUAAUUAUAAAAAUUAUCGAUAAUAAUAAUAGACAAUAUAUUUGUAAAAUAUGAGUGUGCACAUGUACGUGAAAAAAUAAUUUAAUAAAUAUUAAUAAAAUUAUGUAAAAUGUCAUACUUGAAUUAAUAAAUUAUAAAAACAAUACUAAAAAAUAAUAAAAUAAUUUGUUCAUUUUUAAAUCGUGAAUGUGGCUUGUUGAAAAUUAUCUAAUACCAAAAUAAUGCACAAAAAAUAUUAAUAUUAAAGGUUAAAUAAUUUUGACAAAAAUAGCUGUCUAAGAGAGCAUCGAGAUGUCAAAAUUGGGUGUCAACACCAAUAAUUAGUAGUGUGUAUAAGAAUUUCUCCAUUUUUUUCUCAGCUAACUGAGGUCAACUUUAGGGUAACUCCUAUAGUUUUGAGUGGUACCUCAGCCAUACCUAAGUAUCGACAAGAUUCAUUCGGCUUGCUUCAAACAAAGAUUUUGAACUGUGCCUAUUCUCAUGUUUCAAGUGGCCUCUCUAGAAAGAGNNNNNNNNNNNNCAUUUUCACAACUAUUUGAGUAUUUUUAUUUUGAAUGUAGAGACGUUCAGAGAUAUACACUCACACUCAGAAAGUUCACUGAAUGCAAUUGCCAUACCAUAGGCUUGGCCUUCAUGUAAGUAUCUACUAAUGUGAGAACACUUAGAGUAGGAUCUUGUAGGACUUGUUAUUGGCUUAUAAUGUAGGCUUGGGAUCGGGUAGGAUGACAUUUGGAAUAAAAGUGACUAGUUCCUUAAUAAGCAUUGCACUGUAUCCGUGCUUUUGACAUUUGUUGCACUUUGACGCUCGAUCUUCUUUGUUUUUCUUCUUUGCCCCUUGUUUUGUGUUUACUUCGACGUCAUUUGAAUCUUGUGCUAGAGAUUUUCUCCGUUUCUUUUCAAUAAAUUUUUUUUUGGAUGAAGAUUCUCCAUCUUUGUUGGAGUUUCCUUUUUUUUCCUUUUUUAUGAGGAUUUUUGCUCCUUCUUCUUUAAAGUCGUCUUUUAUUUUUGUUCUUCUAGGGCUAAUAUGCUAUUUGCCUUUGGGACCUUUGAUCUUGAAUCUUCAUUCACAACUUGUAUAUACUUAGUACGCUCAAGGAGGUGGGCCAAAAGAGGGAUAGUUCAUGUAAGCAAUCAAAAGGUAUAGGCUCAGAUCUGGUUAUCCAAUGAAAAACUUUCAGGCUCAAAGGGGGAAAUGCUAGGAUUAAUGUCAUUUAAUGGGCUUUGGAAGACCCGAUCGGAUCAAAGAAGGCCUACAAUCCUUUAUCAAACCAAGUGUAUCUCAAAAUUUCCCCUCAACAGAUAUUCAGGCCAAGUUCUAGAUCAAUAAUGCCAUGCAAUGAACUAAUCUAAAGCUCACCACAUAAUGCACUUGAAAUAAUGAGGUUGACUUCGUUCUUGUCUUAGAUGAAUGCAAGAGAAUUUUUUUUUCAAAUGUCACUCAGGUUUGACUAAGUGGUACCAAAAGAAUCUAUGGUUUACCAUGAAGUUAGUCUUCUCCAUCAUACCACUUUGUUCUUUCUCAUGCACACUCCUAACUAUGUUGGUACCAACCAAGUCAUAAUUUUAAUAUUUUUAUUUAUUUAUAAAAAAUAAUGUGACAGGAUCCGAACGAGGGUUUGCCUACAUAUCUUGUAAAAAUAAGAAUCAGGUCUGGGUAGUUCAGGAAAAUUUAUAAAUAUAUAUAUACAACAUGUAGGAAUGUACAAGAGUGGUGAUCAUCCUUGAAAGUAAUAUGAAAGACGAUCAGGAAGAUUACUUAUAUCAUCAAAAUUGGUCCGAUCAGAUGAUCGAGAGGAUGGAUGUCAAGCAUAAGGAGUGUUUUGAAAUUACUUCAAUAUGUCAACAAGAUUGAGGAGGUCAGACAUUGAAAAAGUUAUGGCAUUAUUUCACCGCAGUUGGCAGGAUUGUUAUGAAUGAAAGAAUAUUGAACCCUUGUUUUAAGAGUGGAGAUCAAUAUGCCGUAAAUUUAAUGGUUUACCACGUUAGAAAGAAGAAGCUAGGUGUUCUCGAAUAAAAAUUGGGUGAGAAUUUGGAGGUAGACCCGCUAGGCACUAAUGUUAUUGAGAUUUAGAUCUGAGCAGCUAUUUAUUUGCGCUAAGACCUUUAGAGAGCGUCUUUGAACUGUUACAAAAAAAUUGCCCAGUUUGAAUACUGAAGGAAUUAUUCUAAAGCAGUGAAGAGA